AUUGAACGCUGGCGGCAUGCUUUACACAUGCAAGUCGAACGGCAGCGGGGUAGUGCUUGCACUACUGCCGGCGAGUGGCGAACGGGUGAGUAAUAUAUCGGAACGUACCGAGUAAUGGGGGAUAACCAAUCGAAAGAUUGGCUAAUACCGCAUACGUCCUGAGGGAGAAAGCGGGGGAUCGCAAGACCUCGCGUUAUUCGAGCGGCCGAUAACUGAUUAGCUAGUUGGUGGGGUAAAGGCCUACCAAGGCGACGAUCAGUAGCGGGUCUGAGAGGACGAUCCGCCACACUGGGACUGAGACACGGCCCAGACUCCUACGGGAGGCAGCAGUGGGGAAUUUUGGACAAUGGGGGCAACCCUGAUCCAGCCAUGCCGCGUGUAUGAAGAAGGCCUUCGGGUUGUAAAGUACUUUUGUUAGGGAAGAAAAGGGAAGUGCUAAUACCACUUUUUGCUGACGGUACCUAAAGAAUAAGCACCGGCUAACUACGUGCCAGCAGCCGCGGUAAUACGUAGGGUGCGAGCGUUAAUCGGAAUUACUGGGCGUAAAGCGAGCGCAGACGGUUAUUUAAGCAGGAUGUGAAAUCCCCGGGCUCAACCUGGGAACUGCGUUCUGAACUGGAUAGCUAGAGUGUGUCAGAGGGGGGUAGAAUUCCACGUGUAGCAGUGAAAUGCGUAGAGAUGUGGAGGAAUACCGAUGGCGAAGGCAGCCCCCUGGGAUAACACUGACGUUCAUGCUCGAAAGCGUGGGUAGCAAACAGG
RNAcentral lists this ribosomal RNA (759 nucleotides) under uncultured Eikenella sp. RNAcentral's name for it is "bacterial SSU rRNA". It matches the Rfam family "Bacterial small subunit ribosomal RNA", at positions 28 to 776 of the family's 1533-position model. The record is from RNAcentral. Lineage: Bacteria; Pseudomonadati; Pseudomonadota; Betaproteobacteria; Neisseriales; Neisseriaceae.